RNAcentral lists this long non-coding RNA (1341 nucleotides) under Sus scrofa (pig). RNAcentral describes it as "lncRNA (ENSSSCG00035080492.1)". The record is from RNAcentral. Lineage: Eukaryota; Metazoa; Chordata; Mammalia; Artiodactyla; Suidae.
AUUUUGCCUCACGUGUGUUCAGUUAACUUAAUGAGCUCUCUAUAGGGGUAGCUUUCUUGAGAGACCGUUGCUAAGGGCCAGUCACACGUUUCUCACUGUUGUGAUGGAAACGUGAUUAGAUGCUGAUCCCAGCUCGGCAGAAUUGGCUGGAGUGUCUGGUUAGAGUGGCCUCUUCUGCAGGAGCCUGUGGGAUCUCACGGUGCAACAUCUGCAACCUUGUGAUUUCAGCAAAUGGACAAGAGGUGGCAACAUGCCAGGAGGUGGUGGUUCAGGAGGACUUCAGGGCCAUGCAGUUUGAGGGCACAUGUCCACUUUAGCUGCUGUGCCUGAGCUCCACCUGUGGUGGGCACCCAGGAACAGGACCUCUGUGGCCCCUGCCCUCCUGGCACUGGAUGAGGAGGUGAGAGUAAACAGAAAUGGUUAAUUGGCAAUUUGCAGAUACCUGGGCCUAAGUGCAAGUGGUCAGAAAGUCCCAGAGGAAAGAGAGGAUGGGGGCGUUCUAGGGGGCUGGAGUGGUCGGGAAAAGUAGCCCUUGAACUAGAAGGUAAGGGACCCUCAGGGCAGGAUGAAUCAGAAUAAAUCAGGACUGGAGGCAGGAGUAAGCCCCCCGGCAAAAGAUGGUGAUGGUCAUCAUGCAUUGACCGCCCUCUCCGGGCCAGACCCCCUUCUAAGUAUUUCUUCUUUCUGUCCUCACAACCACCUGAAAAGUGGUGCUAUUGUCCCAAUUUUACAGGUGAGAACCGAGGCCCAGAGAAGUUACACAUGUCCAUGGUCACAUGACUGGGCCUGUCAGCACCUCCUAAGCAGGAAGCAUUCACCUCUGAAGAGAACCAAAGGCGGGGGAGGCUUUGUUGGUGAUGCAGCUGUCAUAUCCUAUUAGUGCACGGGUGGGUCUCAGCGAGCACAGGAGGUAUGUCAUUUAUAGACAGAAAUUGCAUAAUUAAGCUUGAUAGAAUUUUGACGCUUUCUUGGCAGCGCAAUUUGUUCGUCAAGUAAAAAACCUUUAGGAAGUUCAUCACAUGGAAUUUGGAACUCCUGAGUUCAAGACUAGGUAUCUUUCACAGGUGGCACUGAGAACUCGGGAGCUGAUUUGAUUUAGGGCCAUCAUAAAGGCUCCCAAAAAGAGCCUCUUUUGCCUUUGGCUUCUGGAUUCAUACAUUCAGGUUUUAAUGGGAAAAACAACAUAGACAAAGCCAGAUUUCAUCCCACUUGGUUUGAGAACGUGGACCAUAUGCAUUGACUUUAGUUCCUUCCUAUUAAUUUCCUUUUUAAAAAUCAUUUUUUAUUGUGACAUAUAACUCAUGUACGGAAAAGUACACCAACCCCAAAUAUAUAGCCCAG